Molecule: ribosomal RNA, 253 nt
Filed under: uncultured bacterium
Lineage: Bacteria
Description: partial 16S ribosomal RNA
Rfam family: Bacterial small subunit ribosomal RNA
Source: RNAcentral
UACAGAGGUCCCAAGCGUUGUUCGGAUUCACUGGGCGUAAAGGGUGCGUAGGCGGUCGGGUAAGUCUGAUGUGAAAUCUCACAGCUUAACUGUGAAACUGCAUUGGAUACUAUUCGGCUUGAGAGUUGGAGGGGGGACUGGAAUUCUUGGUGUAGCAGUGAAAUGCGUAAAUAUCAAGAGGAACACCAGUGGCGAAGGCGAGUCCCUGGACAACUUCUGACGCUGAGGCACGAAAGCUAGGGGAGCAAACAGG